CAGUCGCCACGGUAAUACGGAGGGUGCAAGCGUUAAUCGGAAUUACUGGGCGUAAAGCGUGCGUAGGCGGUUCGUUAAGUCUGUUGUGAAAGCCCCGGGCUUAACCUGGGAAUGGCAAUGGAUACUGGCGAGCUAGAGUGUGUCAGAGGAUGGUGGAAUUCCCGGUGCAGCGGUGAAAUGCGUAGAGAUCGGGAGGAACAUCAGUGGCGAAGGCGGCCAUCUGGGACAACACUGACGCUGAGGCACGAAAGCGUGGGGAGCAAACAGGAUUAGAUACCCGAGUAGUCCCUGUCUCUUAUAC
This 301-nucleotide ribosomal RNA is filed under the name uncultured bacterium. RNAcentral's name for it is "partial 16S ribosomal RNA". It matches the Rfam family "Bacterial small subunit ribosomal RNA", at positions 509 to 807 of the family's 1533-position model. The record is from RNAcentral.